AUGGAUAAGGAUUACAUAUGAGAAAUCUAGUAGAUUUAAACCAGUCUUUAGGUAAUUUUCACCAAAAAUUUGGCAUCAAAAAAUGAUUAUUUUUUUCCUUCCAAAAUAUGCAAAGAAAAGAAGCAGUUUGGACCAUGUAGGGAUUAGGAGAGAUGAUUGGGCAGAAUGUCCAGCAAGAUUACAAAAGUAGUCAAUUUUAUUUUUAAGUUGUUUUCCUACAAUUUAAUUGUUUGGUUUAAAUGCCUAUCUCUUUGAUGCUUUGGAAAUCUGUUUCUAAAUGACAUCAGAGUCCUUGGUGUGCAGUUGCCCAUUAUCUCAUGUGUUCUUUGCCAGCAGAACCAAUGUUAUUUUUCCUUUUUGAGGGUAAAGAAAUCCUGGUCAGGGCUUCUUCCACACUGAGAUAUUUCAAACAGGACUCACUGAAUAAAAUAUGGACCUUAUUUGAAGCAAACGCUUUCAAUAUUGUUUAAUUACUCCAUUGUAUCAUCUAAAAGAGUCCUGUGAUUCUGACAAAAUUUGAUUCUUGAAAGAAGGUUAUCAAGGAACACCUAAAGCUUUUAUCUACCAAUCUGAAGCAAAAUUGUCACUAAGAACUAGGUUAUAAAUUCUUUGAGUGCAAAGACCUUUUCAUUUUCUCUCUCAUAUGUCUUCAUCAUUCUAAACCACUGAUGGACAUAAGAUAUAUGUUCAGUGCCCUUGCUGGUUGAAUAAUUAACAGCAGUUUCCAAAUCGGCUUAUCUUUUCCAAUUUUAAAUGAAUUUUAUUGAAAUUUGCUAUCUGGGCAAUGUUAUUUUAUUACUUCAUUGAGGAAGAGCUAUAAUUCACAUUUCUACUGGUUUUCCAAGUUGUUUAGCAAAUGGAACUUGAUGUUUAAUCAUCACAAAGUUUAGAAAAGUCAUGCCUAUUAUUUUAUUUAUUCUGCCUCUUCUGGUGUUCCAGAAUUUCAUGAAUCCCAAGUUUGCUUGUUUUUAGAAGCCUUCAUUUUAUUUGGAAAGGGUGAUCCUUCCUACUAACAAUUUAUUCUACUCUCAAUAUGUACCAAGAUGUUUGAAGAUAUCCUACUCCAGAAGACAAAAAGGAGGCCACAUCAAGACCGUAGGCAGGGCAAUUAUGCAAUAUAAGCAACCCUACACCCCCCAGAUGGGCAGCCCACAGACUGGAAAGUAGCUGUAUCACAGAGACUCACCUACCGGAGUGAGAGUUCUGAGCCCCAUAUCAGGUCCCCAUGCCUGGGGAUCUGGUAUUGGGAGAAAGAGCGCCCAGAGGAUCUGGCAUUGAAGGCCAGUGGGGCUUGUGUGUGGGAGCUCCAUAGGACUGGGGGAAACAGAGACCCCAUUCUUAAAAGGCACAUGCAGGCUUUCAUGUGCACUGGGUCCCAGGGCAAAGCAGAGAUCCAUAGGAAUCUGGGUUGGACCUGACUGAAGUUCUUGGGGGAUCUUCUGGGAAAAUAGGAGGUGACUGUGGCUUAUUGUGAGGAAAAGACAUUGGAGGCAAAGUUCUUGGGAAUAUUAAUCAGCAUGUAUUCCUCUAGAGGUGGCCAUUUUGGGAAUAUCUGGCUCCACCUAUCAAUGCUGAGAAGCCCCAUGCCAAACAAUAAUCCAAGUGGGAUCACAGCCCCACCCAUCAGUAAACAGGCUGCCUAAAGACCCCCAGGCAUACAGCCCCAUCUAAUCUCACCCAGAGACAAAGCCCCACCCACCAGAGGGAUCAGCCCCACCUACCAGUGGGCAGGCAAAGUCCCUCCCAUCAGGAAGCCUACAGAAAGCCGCUGUACCAACUUCAGCCACAAGGGGAGCAGACAUCAGAAGUAAGAGAGGCUACAACUCUGUGGUCUGCAAAAACGAGACCACACCAAAAACCUAUAAAAGUGAAAAGUCAGAGAACUAUAACUCAGAUAAG
Molecule: long non-coding RNA, 1899 nt
Filed under: Sus scrofa (pig)
Lineage: Eukaryota; Metazoa; Chordata; Mammalia; Artiodactyla; Suidae
Description: lncRNA (ENSSSCG00000060037.1)
Source: RNAcentral